CCCGCUGAACUUAAGCAUAUCACUAAGCGGAGGAAAAGAAAUCAACAAGGAUUGCCUCAGUAACGGCGAGUGAAGCGGCAAUAGCUCAAGUUUAGAAUCUGGGACCCUCUGUCAUCGCAUUGUGAUCUAUAGGGAAUAACAAAAGGGGAAGCAGAGGCAUAAGUUCCUUGGAAAAGGACGGCCAAGAGAGGUGAAAGAGCAGUCUGCAGCCUGCGCUGAACCGAAGGUUGGCUUUCUUACAGUCGGGUAGUGUGGGAUUGCAGCCCAAAACAGGAGAUAAACUUCGUUGAAGGCUAAAUAUCUAUGGAUAAACCGAUAGCGAACAAGUACUGUGAAGGAAAGAUGAAAAGAACUUUGAAGCGAGGGUUAAAAGACUUGAAAUCGUUGAGAAGGAAGCAGUAGAAGUGGAUUCUAUAUUAGUCAUGCAGCAAAGCAUGUAACGACCUGCUGAUAGUGGUACUGUUCUUCAUUGGCUGCCUACUAUUAAGUAAUGGCACUUUAUGGAGAUUUCAUGAUUAAGAAGCAGAACCAGGUCUAAGCUUGAAGGAAUCAGUAAGGUUGCAGUCCACAGCUCGGUGUCAGCCUCUUUACACAACUACAAGAUGCCCUGAGGAAACUUUUGAUGCUGCCACAACGGCUUCUACCGACCCGUCUUGAAACACGG
This 664-nucleotide ribosomal RNA is filed under the name uncultured fungus. RNAcentral describes it as "eukaryotic LSU rRNA". It matches the Rfam family "Eukaryotic large subunit ribosomal RNA", at positions 24 to 664 of the family's 3401-position model. Lineage: Eukaryota; Fungi. The record is from RNAcentral.